RNAcentral lists this long non-coding RNA (1020 nucleotides) under Calidris pugnax (ruff). RNAcentral describes it as "lncRNA (ENSCPUG00000002712.1)". Lineage: Eukaryota; Metazoa; Chordata; Aves; Charadriiformes; Scolopacidae. The record is from RNAcentral.
UGGGGCGGGACGGCGGGCGGCGGUGCCCUCCCGCCUGAGGGGCCGCGGUGGAGGGCAGUAAGGACCAGCGCCACCCGAGGGGACACUGAGGGAGGGCCACGGGGGGCGUUCGAAUCGGAACAAAAGGGGGAAGAAAAGCGAUCGUGUGAGGGCGGUGAGACCCCUCGGCCCGCAGGGAACGCGGCCCGGCCCCUGCCUUGGGCGCGGUGAGUUCCCCUCAGGAACGCUGGUGGGCCCGGCUCAGGAGCGGCCCCUGCGUGGGAAGGCGACACCUCGGAGGUUGGCUCUCCUGCCCCAUGAAGUGACAGGGUAAAAACCACCAAGUUUAUUUUGGUUUUCCACGUCUAAAGGUGGCAGGAUUCAAAGCACGGGCGGCUGGAAUGUGGGAGAACCACAGCCUGGUUCUUGGUGAGGCGCGAGGUGCCAGUAAGCGGUGUGCGGGUCUGCGGGAGAGCCCAGCAGCCCGCUUCGCCCCGGCCACGAACACCCAGGGGACAGACACCUUUGUGCCCAGAUUUCCAGAGAGAUUCAAAAUCCUUGGGGAGCUCCAGUCUUACACAUGGGUUAUCGUAAUCCUGGUGCAGCACAUCCAGAAAUCUCUCAGAAGCAGCAUCUGAGCAAGGUCAGCUUCAGCCAGGGUUGGAGUUGGAAAUGGUCAGCAUCGCUUCCCACUAGCACCACACAACACCAGCUCCACUGCUGCCCCACGGUUCUUGCAAGAUCGCCUUUGGGCUACUAUCCCUCCUUUUACUACAAGAAUUUCCUUUAUAUAGGACACCAAGUGUUCACCGCCGAAAGGCAGCGAUCCCUAUGUGAAACAUGGCAGCCACUCAGUAACGCGGAGGUUGGGAGGCGAUGGUGAGGAACCACAGAAAGAGCCAACAAAACGUGCCUUGCCGAGCGGGAACUGCUUUCCAGACCGAGAGGCAGGGCUGGUUCAAGCAAGUGUCAGUCCGUGAUCCUUUCCACCGUCACCACAGCAGGAGGUCAGCUGUCCCCAAAACCCUUCUGAAGAAAGAG